This 23-nucleotide non-coding RNA is filed under the name Cricetulus griseus (Chinese hamster). The record is from RNAcentral. Lineage: Eukaryota; Metazoa; Chordata; Mammalia; Rodentia; Cricetidae.
AAGAAGGAUAAGCAUCUGGCAGA